GAUGAACGCUGGCGGCGUGCCUAAUACAUGCAAGUCGAGCGAACAGAUGAGGAGCUUGCUCCUCUGACGUUAGCGGCGGACGGGUGAGUAACACGUGGAUAACCUACCUAUAAGACUGGGAUAACUUCGGGAAACCGGAGCUAAUACCGGAUAAUAUAUUGAACCGCAUGGUUCAAUAGUGAAAGACGGUUUUGCUGUCACUUAUAGAUGGAUCCGCGCCGCAUUAGCUAGUUGGUAAGGUAACGGCUUACCAAGGCCACGAUGCGUAGCCGACCUGAGAGGGUGAUCGCGCACACUGGAACUGAGACACGGUCCAGAGUCCUACGGGAGGCAGCAGUAGGGAAGCGUCCGCAAUGGGCGAAAGCCUGACGGAGCAACGCAGCGUGAGUGAUGAAGGUCUUCGGAUCGUAAAACUCUGUUAUUAGGGAAGAACAAAUGUGUAAGUAACUAUGCACGUCUUGACGGUACCUAAUCAGAAAGCCACGGCUAACUACGUG
RNAcentral lists this ribosomal RNA (497 nucleotides) under uncultured bacterium. Its description in RNAcentral is "partial 16S ribosomal RNA". It matches the Rfam family "Bacterial small subunit ribosomal RNA", at positions 28 to 507 of the family's 1533-position model. The record is from RNAcentral.